UACGAAGGGGGCUAGCGUUGCUCGGAAUGACUGGGCGUAAAGGGCGCGUAGGCGGUGAUAUGUGAAUGGUGUGAAAGCCCCGGGCUUAACCUGGGAGGAGCAUCGUUGACUAUAUGACUGGAGUAGAUGAGAGGGUGGUGGAAUUUCCGGUGUAGCGGUGAAAUGCGUAGAUAUCGCUUGGAACGCCGACGGCGAAAGCAGUCUGCUGGGGGCCUUCUGACGCUGAGACACGAAAGCCAGGGGAGCGAACGGG
RNAcentral lists this ribosomal RNA (253 nucleotides) under uncultured bacterium. RNAcentral's name for it is "partial 16S ribosomal RNA". It matches the Rfam family "Bacterial small subunit ribosomal RNA", at positions 524 to 776 of the family's 1533-position model. The record is from RNAcentral.